GAUGAACGCUGGCGGCGUGCCUAAUACAUGCAAGUCGAGCGAACAGACGAGGAGCUUGCUCCUCUGACGUUAGCGGCGGACGGGUGAGUAACACGUGGAUAACCUACCUAUAAGACUGGGAUAACUUCGGGAAACCGGAGCUAAUACCGGAUAAUAUAUUGAACCGCAUGGUUCAAUAGUGAAAGACGGUUUUGCUGUCACUUAUAGAUGGAUCCGCGCCGCAUUAGCUAGUUGGUAAGGUAACGGCUUACCAAGGCGACGAUGCGUAGCCGACCUGAGAGGGUGAUCGGCCACACUGGAACUGAGACACGGUCCAGACUCCUACGGGAGGCAGCAGUAGGGAAUAUUCCGCAAUGGGCGAAAGCCUGACGGAGCAACGCCGCGUGAGUGAUGAAGGUCUUCGGAUCGUAAAGCUCUGUUAUUAGGGAAGAACAAAUGUGUAAGUAACUAUGCCCGUCUUGACGGUACCUAAUCAGAAAGCCACGGCUAACUACGUG
Molecule: ribosomal RNA, 497 nt
Filed under: uncultured bacterium
Lineage: Bacteria
Description: partial 16S ribosomal RNA
Rfam family: Bacterial small subunit ribosomal RNA
Source: RNAcentral